GUAGCUAACGCAUUAAGUUCCCCGCCUGGGGAGUACGCCCGCAAGGCUAAAACUCAAAGGAAUUGACGGGGGCCCGCACAAGCGGCGGAGCAUGCGGAUUAAUUCGAUGCAACGCGAAGAACCUUACCAAGGCUUGACAUAGCCGAGAACGCUGUAGAGAUACAGAACUCUUUGGACACUCGGUUACAGGUGGUGCAUGGUUGUCGUCAGCUCGUGUCGUGAGAUGUUCGGUUAAGUCCGGCAACGAGCGCAACCCUCGUCCUAUGUUGCCAGCACGUUAUGGUGGGAACUCAUGGGAUACUGCCGUGGUCAACACGGAGGAAGGUGGGGAUGACGUCAAGUCAUCAUGCCCCUUAUGUCUUGGGCUUCACGCAUGCUACAAUGGCCGAUACAAAGGGCUGCGAUACCGCGAGGUGGAGCGAAUCCCAAAAAGUCGGUCUCAGUUCGGAUUGGGGUCUGCAACUCGACCCCAUGAAGUCGGAGUCGCUAGUAAUCGCAGAUCAGCAACGCUGCGGUGAAUACGUUCCCGGGCCUUGUACACACCGCCCGUCAAGUCAUGAAAGUCGGUAACACCCGAAGCCGGUGGCCUAACCCUUGUGGAGGGAGCCGUCGAAGGUGGGACUGGUGAUUAGGACU
RNAcentral lists this ribosomal RNA (636 nucleotides) under uncultured bacterium. RNAcentral describes it as "bacterial SSU rRNA". It matches the Rfam family "Bacterial small subunit ribosomal RNA", at positions 848 to 1482 of the family's 1533-position model. The record is from RNAcentral.